Molecule: ribosomal RNA, 253 nt
Filed under: uncultured bacterium
Lineage: Bacteria
Description: partial 16S ribosomal RNA
Rfam family: Bacterial small subunit ribosomal RNA
Source: RNAcentral
UACAGAGGGGGCAAGCGUUGUUCGGAAUUACUGGGCGUAAAGGGCGCGUAGGCGGCCUUCUAAGUCAUGCGUGAAAUCCCCGGGCUCAACCCGGGAACUGCGUCUGAUACUGGAGGGCUUGAAUCCGGGAGAGGGAUGUGGAAUUCCAGGUGUAGCGGUGAAAUGCGUAGAUAUCUGGAGGAACACCGGUGGCGAAGGCGGCAUCCUGGACCGGCAUUGACGCUGAGGCGCGAAAGCUAGGGGAGCAAACGGG